This 83-nucleotide transfer RNA is filed under the name Betaproteobacteria bacterium MOLA814. It matches the Rfam family "tRNA". From Rfam's summary of the family: Transfer RNA (tRNA) molecules are approximately 80 nucleotides in length. The record is from Rfam by way of RNAcentral. Lineage: Bacteria; Pseudomonadati; Pseudomonadota; Betaproteobacteria.
GGAGGGGUGUCCGAGUGGUUAAAGGAGGCAGAUUGUAAAUCUGCUGGUUAACGCCUACGUUGGUUCGAAUCCAACCCUCUCCA